This 226-nucleotide unclassified non-coding RNA is filed under the name Hevea brasiliensis (rubber tree). The record is from RNAcentral. Lineage: Eukaryota; Viridiplantae; Streptophyta; Magnoliopsida; Malpighiales; Euphorbiaceae.
GUUUGGAUGCCUGUAAAUGAUCAGCUAAUCAUCAGGAAAAUGCACACCCUGUUCAAUAUCUAAAAGGCAAAAUGAAUUUCGUACAUGCCAAAACAAAUACAACAAAUCCUAUGUAUUCUAUCAUAUUUAACGAAAUAUCCUCAUAUGCAAUGUAACAGUAAGACCUCAAGCUGGAAUUUAGAUAAUUAAAGCCAAUCAAGUACCUUUCUAAGUUUGUUGUCACAUU